Molecule: ribosomal RNA, 40 nt
Filed under: Zizania aquatica
Lineage: Eukaryota; Viridiplantae; Streptophyta; Magnoliopsida; Poales; Poaceae
Description: partial 25S ribosomal RNA
Source: RNAcentral
UCGACCCCACCCCAGGUCGGCGGGAAUACCCCCUAAUUUA